RNAcentral lists this unclassified non-coding RNA (367 nucleotides) under Hevea brasiliensis (rubber tree). Lineage: Eukaryota; Viridiplantae; Streptophyta; Magnoliopsida; Malpighiales; Euphorbiaceae. The record is from RNAcentral.
GAAGAAUCCUCGCCCUCUCGAUGAGGACGAUAUUGCUCUUCUCAAGACUUAUGGGUUGGGACCUUAUUCAACCUAUAUCAAGAAGGUAGAGAAAGAAAUCAAGGAUAUGGCAAAGAAGGUCAAUGAUUUAUGUGGCAUUAAGGAGUCUGACACCGGUUUAGCAGCUCCAAGCCAAUGGGAUCUUGUAUCUGAUAAGCAAAUGAUGCAGGAAGAGCAACCUCUUCAGGUGGCGAGAUGCACAAAGAUCAUCAAUCCAAAUUCUGAAGAUGCCAAAUAUGUUAUUAAUGUUAAGCAAAUUGCCAAGUUUGUUGUCGGACUUGGUGACAAAGUUUCGCCAACAGAUAUAGAAGAAGGCAUGCGUGUAGGU